CAAUAGCGUAUAUUAAAGCUGUUGCGGUUAAAAAGCUCGUAGUUGGAUUUCUGUCAAGGACAACUGGUCCGCCCUCCGGGUGAGCACAUAGUUUGGUCUUGACAUCUUGCUGGAAGCUGUUGCUGCACUUGGCUGUGUGGCGCAGUGUUCAGCACUUUCACUUUGAGGAAAUUGGAGUGUUUCAAGCAGGCACAUGCCUUUGGACACAGUAGCAUGGAAUAAUUAGAUUGGGCUUUUGCUCCAAUUUGUCGGUUUCUGGAGCUGAGGUGAGUAUUAAUGGGGAUUGUUGGGGGCAUCCGAAUUCAGCCGUCAGAGGUGAAAUUCUUGGAUCUGCUAAAGACGGACAACUGCGAAAGCGUUUGCCCAGGAUGUUUUCAUUGA
This 381-nucleotide ribosomal RNA is filed under the name uncultured eukaryote. RNAcentral describes it as "partial 18S ribosomal RNA". It matches the Rfam family "Eukaryotic small subunit ribosomal RNA", at positions 592 to 976 of the family's 1831-position model. The record is from RNAcentral.